Molecule: ribosomal RNA, 406 nt
Filed under: uncultured bacterium
Lineage: Bacteria
Description: partial 16S ribosomal RNA
Rfam family: Bacterial small subunit ribosomal RNA
Source: RNAcentral
AUUGAACGCUGGCGGCAGGCCUAACACAUGCAAGUCGAACGAGUGGCGGAGGGGUGAGUAAUUUCUGGGAAACUGCCCAAUGGAGGGGGCUAACUCCUGGAACCGGUAGCUAAUACCGCUUACAAUCGACUGUGCCCAGAUUGGUUUAGCUAGUCGGUGGGGUAACGGCUUACCUAGGGGACGAUCCCUAGCUGGUCUGCGAGGAUGACCAGCCACACUGGAACGGAGACACGGUCCAGACUCCUACGGGAGGCAGCAGUGGGGAAUAUUGCACAAUGGGCGCAAGCCUGAUGCAGCCAUGCCGCGUGUAUGAAGAAGGCCUUCGGGUUGUAAAGUACUUUCAGCGGGGAGGCGUUACCCGCAGAAGAAGCACCGGCUAACUCCGUGCCAGCAGCCGCGGUAAUAC